GUGAACGCUGGCGGUAGGCCUAACACAUGCAAGUCGAACGGCAGCACAGUAAGAGCUUGCUCUUACGGGUGGCGAGUGGCGGACGGGUGAGGAAUACAUCGGAAUCUACUUUUUCGUGGGGGAUAACGUAGGGAAACUUACGCUAAUACCGCAUACGACCUACGGGUGAAAGCAGGGGAUCUUCGGACCUUGCGCGAUUGAAUGAGCCGAUGUCGGAUUAGCUAGUUGGCGGGGUAAAGGCCCACCAAGGCGACGAUCCGUAGCUGGUCUGAGAGGAUGAUCAGCCACACUGGGACUGAUACACGGUCCAGACUCCUACGGGAGGCAGCAGUGGGGAAUAUUGGACAAUGGGCGCAGGCCUGAUCCAGCCAUACCGCGUGAGUGAAGAAGGCCUUCGGGUUGUAAAGCCCUUUUGUUGGGAAAGAAAAGCAGCAGGUUAAUACCCCGCUGUUCUGACGGUACCCAAAGAAUAAGCACCGGCUAACUUCGUG
RNAcentral lists this ribosomal RNA (491 nucleotides) under uncultured bacterium. RNAcentral's name for it is "partial 16S ribosomal RNA". It matches the Rfam family "Bacterial small subunit ribosomal RNA", at positions 29 to 507 of the family's 1533-position model. The record is from RNAcentral.